CAGCUGGUUGGUGGGGUAAGAGCUCACCAAGGCGACGAUCAGUAGCUGGUCUGAGAGGACGAGCAGCCACACUGGGAUUGAGAACGGCCCAGACUCCUACGGGGGGCAGCAGUGAGGAAUUUUCCGCAAUGGACGAGAGUCUGACGGAGCAACGCCGCGUGCAGGAUGACGGCCUUCGGGUUGUAAACUGCUUUUCUGGGGGACGAGCAAGGACGGUACCUCAGGAAUCAGCCCCGGCUAACUACGUGCCAGCAGCCGCGGUAAUACGUAGGGGGCAAGCGUUGUCCGAAGUUACUGGGCGUAAAGCGCCCGCAGGCGGUCGUGAACGUUUGGGAUGACAGGGGUCGGCUUACCCGAUCAAGCGUUUCAAAAACGGCACGACUUGAGGGCCAGAGAGGGACAGGGAAUUCCGAGUGGAGUGGUGAAAUGCGUAGAUAUUCGGAGGAACACCAAAGGCGAAGGCACUGUCCUGGAUGGUACCUGACGCUCAGGGGCGAAAGCCAGGGGAGCGAACGGGAUUAGAUACCCCGGUAGUCCUGGCUGUAAACGAUGACCACUAGAUGUGGCGGGUAUCGACCCCCGCCGUGUCGUAGCUAAC
Molecule: ribosomal RNA, 598 nt
Filed under: uncultured bacterium
Lineage: Bacteria
Description: SSU rRNA
Rfam family: Bacterial small subunit ribosomal RNA
Source: RNAcentral